RNAcentral lists this long non-coding RNA (219 nucleotides) under Elaeis guineensis (African oil palm). Its description in RNAcentral is "long non-coding RNA (EGUI_LNC079166)". The record is from RNAcentral. Lineage: Eukaryota; Viridiplantae; Streptophyta; Magnoliopsida; Arecales; Arecaceae.
UCCAACUAUUGAAAUUCAGUUCCUGUUCUUAAGAUUUUUGCCAACAUUUCAUUAAUCAAUAAUCAUCCUCAUCUUCGUCAAUUAUAACAUUAGAAACUUGACAAUCUUGUUUUGGCAAAUUUGCAUCAACUUUUGUAGUUGAAUCAUCAUCUUCAUCUGCAAUCCACAAGUAACAAAUAACAAAGAUCAAUAAAUAGUUAGAAAAAAUCUAUUUUGCAU